This 253-nucleotide ribosomal RNA is filed under the name uncultured bacterium. Its description in RNAcentral is "partial 16S ribosomal RNA". It matches the Rfam family "Bacterial small subunit ribosomal RNA", at positions 524 to 776 of the family's 1533-position model. The record is from RNAcentral.
UACGGGGGGGGCAAGCGUUGUUCGGAAUUACUGGGCGUAAAGGGCUCGUAGGCGGCCAACUAAGUCAGACGUGAAAUCCCUCGGCUUAACCGGGGAACUGCGUCUGAUACUGGAUGGCUUGAAUCCGGGAGAGGGAUGCGGAAUUCCAGGUGUAGCGGUGAAAUGCGUAGAUAUUGGGAGGAACACCAGUGGCGAAGGCGGGUCUCUGGACAGUUCCUGACGCUGAGGCACGAAGGCCAGGGGAGCAAACGGG